CAGAGUAAGCUUGUGUGCGUUUUACCGAAAAGGGCAAAAGCCCGGAGGUAUACAGUGUCGUGGGGACGGGGAGUUGCCGCACGAACGAAAAGAGAAGCUGCGAUACACAGGCUGCAUCCCGCUGC
This 125-nucleotide non-coding RNA is filed under the name bovine gut metagenome. RNAcentral's name for it is "THF riboswitch". It matches the Rfam family "THF (Tetrahydrofolate) riboswitch aptamer". From Rfam's summary of the family: THF riboswitch presents a pseudoknot that joins P1-P2 and the loop of P3 and two THF binding. The record is from RNAcentral.